This 497-nucleotide ribosomal RNA is filed under the name uncultured bacterium. RNAcentral describes it as "partial 16S ribosomal RNA". It matches the Rfam family "Bacterial small subunit ribosomal RNA", at positions 28 to 507 of the family's 1533-position model. The record is from RNAcentral.
GAUGAACGCUGGCGGCGUGCCUAAUACAUGCAAGUCGAGCGAACAGACGAGGAGCUUGCUCCUCUGACGUUAGCGGCGGACGGGUGAGUAACACGUGGAUAACCUACCUAUAAGACUGGGAUAACUUCGGGAAACCGGAGCUAAUACCGGAUAAUAUAUUGAACCGCAUGGUUCAAUAGUGAAAGACGGUUUUGCUGUCACUUAUAGAUGGAUCCGCGCCGCAUUAACUAGUUGGUAAGGUAACGGCUUACCAAGGCAACGAUGCGUAGCCGACCUGAGAGGGUGAUCGGCCACACUGGAACUGAGACACGGUCCAGACUCCUACGGGAGGCAGCAGUAGGGAAUCUUCCGCAAAGGGCGAAAGCCUGACGGAGCAACGCCGCGUGAGUGAUGAAGGUCUUCGGAUCGUAAAACUCUGUUAUUAGGGAAGAACAAAUGUGUAAGUAACUAUGCACGUCUUGACGGUACCUAAUCAGAAAGCCACGGCUAACUACGUG